RNAcentral lists this ribosomal RNA (252 nucleotides) under uncultured bacterium. RNAcentral's name for it is "partial 16S ribosomal RNA". It matches the Rfam family "Bacterial small subunit ribosomal RNA", at positions 524 to 776 of the family's 1533-position model. The record is from RNAcentral.
UACGUAGGUGGCGAGCGUUAUCCGGAAUGAUUGGGCGUAAAGGGUGCGUAGGCGGCCUGCUAAGUCUGGAGUGAAAGGUACCGGCUCAACCGGUACAGGCUCUGGAAACUGGCGGGCUAGAGAGCAGGAGAGGGCGGUGGAACCCCAUGUGUAGCGGUAAAAUGCGUAGAUAUAUGGAAGAACACCAGUGGCGAAGGCGGCCUGCUGGACGGUGACUGACGCUGAGGCUCGAAAGCGUGGGGAGCAAACAGG